Molecule: long non-coding RNA, 1654 nt
Organism: Salmo trutta (river trout)
Lineage: Eukaryota; Metazoa; Chordata; Actinopteri; Salmoniformes; Salmonidae
Source: Ensembl
CACGCAUUCAUUCAUUCAUUCAUUCAUUCAUUCAUUCAUUCAUUCAUUCAUGUGUGGUAGAGGCACAGUCCUUACCCGGGUGCUGAGGGUAGUCAGACGUCAGGAGAUGGUCUCAGUGAGCGCUCAUUUCCUUUGCUCAGCUCAGCUCACCUCACCAACACACAAUCACUGUCUCCACCAGCGGGUAAAUCCAGUGUCCCGUAUCUCAGACAGAAAAAAACUGUCCUCUUCCGCUUCGGUCAGAGCUGGGUAUUGCAAAAGGUCUUACAGUGAGUAGCCUAGCCUACAGUUUGACAUAGAAAAACAAAACUAAAAAACAAAAUCAGUGGCUAUAUUAUGCCGUUGAGAUGGAGAGAGAAAUCCGUGAGAUGGAUUUGCCCCUAUGCGUUAUUUGGAAUAAAUGUGUGUGCUGGAUGGAUCCGUAGAAGUGCGAACUAUAGCCUACGGUUUUGUUUUGUUUUGUUCCCCAUCUGGGCUCCAAUUUGACAACUGUGACAUUACACAGUGAUGGGUCCCAUCCCUGUCAGUGUAAUAGUUUAAGGACGUGCUCCAUUCCCUUUCUGGAUUAAUGCUGGCUCUAUCCUGUCUGCUGUCAGCUCACCGCUCCAGUCUUACACCCCAGCUACAGCCCCGGAACAAACCCACUGUGUGUGUGUAUACACCUACUGAAAGCAUCAGCAGAACACGCCUGACACUCCUCCACCAGUCAUACAAGGAGAAUGGUCUGAUGCUUCCUAUCAAAAAGAGAGCUGGCCCAAGCAAGCACAGGUUACACGUGAAGCACGAGGACUUACAGUGUGUUGUGAACUUCAUCAUCAACUACGCAGAGGAUAAUGCAGUAGUUUUACCAGGACACCACCCAGGACACAAUCACUUUGGUGGAAAGCUGCUGCCAUCCCAUGUGACAAAAGCAGCAGUGUGGCGUCUCUACAAGGAAUCGAUGACAACACUUGGUACGUAAAGCAUAAGCAAGACAUUUUGAUUAUUUAAUUGACCUCCAACAUGAUUGGCACUACUUUUAUUUAUCUCACAUUAUUUCUGUAUUUUCCAGAGGUACGUGUAGUCGUGCUGUCUUCCUUCAGGAAUCUGUGGAGAAAAUUGCUGCCCCACAUCUCAAGCGCUAAGCCCAGGACAGACCUGUGCUGACAGUGCCAGAGGAACAACUGUCAGGUCUUCAGAUCUUCCAAUCUGCCAGAAGCUGUUAAAUCAGCCAAGCUGAAGAAGCAAGAGCAGCAUCUCCUGCUUGUUCAGAAUGAGUGAUCUGUCUACCAGAAGAUGGUUGCUGACUGCAAGACCACCUGUCAAGACCUGCAGUUGUCUCUGGGGGCCCCUACUGAACCAGCAAGCAAGCGAUAGACAGAUAGAUAGAUAGAUAGAUAGAUAUAUAGAUAUAUAGAUAUAUAGAUAGAUAGAUAGAUAGAUAGAUAGAUAGAUAGAUAGAUAGAUAGAUAGAUAGAUAGAUAGAUAGAUAGAUAGAUAGAUAGAUAGAUAGAUAGAUAGAUAUGGGAAGCAAGCUGUCACGGAUCCUCCAGUACUUUCAUUACGCACACCUGUCCCCUAUUCCCACUGAUUAGUACUUGUAUAAGUGCGCCCUUUGGUUUCCAUUGGGCUGUCCAUUAUUGUUACAAUGUCCAUUAGUGCGUGUGAGUACCUG